RNAcentral lists this transfer RNA (65 nucleotides) under Stenophyella macreta. Its description in RNAcentral is "tRNA-Leu". The record is from RNAcentral. Lineage: Eukaryota; Metazoa; Arthropoda; Insecta; Hemiptera; Pachygronthidae.
ACUACUUUGGCAGAUAAGUGCAAUAAAUUUAGAAUUUAUUAAUGUAAUUUAGAUUACAGGUAGUA